Non-coding RNA from Pseudonaja textilis, 90 nucleotides. The record is from RefSeq and is a predicted model, not a curated record. NCBI's taxonomy places the organism in Eukaryota, Metazoa, Chordata, Lepidosauria, Squamata, Elapidae.
AGCCUCAGGAGGCUGAAAAGUGGUCUGUUUCAGCACAUCCGGUAUUUCAGGAACACCUGUUUUUCGGCCUCUGGAGCCUGGGAGAGGACA